AUGGAGAUUAAAGGCGAAAAUCCAUUCCCAAAUCGUCUCUCCUUCCUUUCUCAGUGUUCGUCUCGUUCCCCAACAAUCAGAUGUUGGAGAUGUGGAGACGGUGUUCUUCUAAUAUUAACUGGAUCUAAGUGUGAGAGAGUCCUCGGGAGUCAGGAGAUUAGAAGAACUGCAGAAUGGGGAAAUUAUUCAGUUCUUGGUGUCGUCUUCUCGUUCGUGCUGACUACUGCAACCUGCGGAUCUGGCAACCUACAUCCACAUGAAUACAUAUUUAGGCCACAGCUGAAUCCAUGGCGAAAUGCUUCCUGGUGCUCGUCUUCAUGGCAUUUCUCCUGCCGGCGGCCUACGCGAUGUGCCACCCUGACGACCUCCAAGCGCCGCGGGGCUUNNNNNNNNNNAGCAAUAGAAGGACACUCCAACAACAACAAUCAAAUACCAUUACUGGCACCAACAAACAGUGUCAGAUCUGGGAGUGGCAAUAUUGUAUCUGGGAACGGCAACACUGUCGUAUCUGGGGACAACAAUAAUGUUUCUGGGAGCAACAACACAGUCACAUCUGGGAGCAGCAAUGUCAUAGUUGACAGCAACCAUGUCGUUACUGGGAGCAACAAUACUGUAUCGGGCAAUAACAAUAGGGUAACUGGGAACAAUAAUGUUGUAUCAGGGAGCAACCAAGUCGUGUCCGGGGACAACAAAGUCGUAACUGGCUAA
Molecule: ribosomal RNA, 708 nt
Filed under: Triticum aestivum (bread wheat)
Lineage: Eukaryota; Viridiplantae; Streptophyta; Magnoliopsida; Poales; Poaceae
Description: partial small subunit ribosomal RNA
Source: RNAcentral